UACGGGGGGAGCAAGCGUUGUUCGGAUUUACUGGGCGUAAAGGGCGCGUAGGCGGUUAGCACAAGUCAGUUGUGAAAUCUCCGGGCUUAACUCGGAAAGGUCAACUGAUACUGUGCGACUAGAGUGCAGAAGGGGCAACUGGAAUUCUCGGUGUAGCGGUGAAAUGCGUAGAUAUCGAGAGGAACACCUGCGGCGAAGGCGGGUUGCUGGGCUGACACUGACGCUGAUGCGCGAAAGCCAGGGGAGCGAACGGG
RNAcentral lists this ribosomal RNA (254 nucleotides) under uncultured bacterium. Its description in RNAcentral is "partial 16S ribosomal RNA". It matches the Rfam family "Bacterial small subunit ribosomal RNA", at positions 524 to 776 of the family's 1533-position model. The record is from RNAcentral.